CUUGAUUUUUUUAUAGUGAACAUUAGCUUCGCAACAGAGAAUGAAUUUUACAUAAUAGGAACGUGGAAUUAUCUUAUAUAUUCCCAAUGAGUAAAUAAAUCAUUCAUAUCAUUCUACACAGAGACCCCGAAAGCAAAGAAAAAAAAACUUUACUACAAAGCACAUGCUCAAUCCAAUUGAUUUUUGAUAAAAGCAAUCACAAAGCAAAAGGAUAAGUGAGAAUCAGAUGCAUCAUGUGCCAUACAAUAGCUACCAAAUUUAUAAACACGUUUUAAAGGAAAGAUCAGAUCCACUUAAUUUUUCUUCCAUUGUUUUCGAUAGUUUUUCUAUCAUAGCUGGGGAAAAGUAGUUUACCCAAUCUCCUAUUUCACCCUUCCGAAAUAAGUACUUUUUCUCAAUGUUCCUGCCAACUGUUCCAGAUUUAUUCACUUCUAGAUUCUUCAUUUUCUCGAAACUGCAUAACUUUAUUAUGUUUUCAAUCACUCCGUUACUUUCUUCUUCUUCUUCUUCUUCUUCUGUGAAAGGACAAUCCAAGAAUUCUGCAAUUCUUUUCACGUAAAAAUCGACAUCUUCUUUGAGUUCUUCAUACUUCAAGAACAGCACCUUGUUCGGUGUAGCUAUGCUCUGUUUCCAGUAACCUAACAUAUGAUCCCAAGUCGGACCAAACCCAAUUAUUCCCUUGCAGUACUUUUCUAAAGCUUCCUCUAUCGUUACUUCAAUCAAAGAAUCUGACUUUAUUUUAUUGAAGAAGGUCCAAGAUGAAACAAAAGUGUCAAAUGGAUUUCUGCAGAUAUAAAGUAUCUUACAGUUGGAUUCUUUGAUUGAGUUGGAGAGGGAAGGGAAUGGAAUGUGAGUACCAAAAACUCUCGGUUCAGUCAUAUUGGAGAGGUAAGAAAGUUUGUGUUGGAUGUUAUCACCAUGAAAGCUGAUUUUGGAAAGCUGGCAACAAUAACAUCACUGUCUUUUGCCUGAAAGUGAUUUUGAAAAUUGAUUACACCUUCAAUAUGAGUUGAUGGACACCAAAAAUCUUGAAAGAGAUAGAGAUGGCGUGAUGCCCAACCCUUUUCUUUGUGAAGGGGCAGAAGUAGCUUCUCUUCCUCGUAAGCUUGAAGCCCUUCUGUUGAAGCCAUUAGAAGCUCUAGCUAUAAUGUGUGAGUGAUAAGUUACCAGUGAAAAGGUUGAUGAUAAUUCACCUCAAUAAGG
Molecule: small RNA, 1203 nt
Filed under: Vigna angularis var. angularis
Lineage: Eukaryota; Viridiplantae; Streptophyta; Magnoliopsida; Fabales; Fabaceae
Description: Non-protein coding transcript
Source: RNAcentral